This 1227-nucleotide unclassified non-coding RNA is filed under the name Hevea brasiliensis (rubber tree). Lineage: Eukaryota; Viridiplantae; Streptophyta; Magnoliopsida; Malpighiales; Euphorbiaceae. The record is from RNAcentral.
CUCAGAUCAAUGCUAUCACACAACUUCUUAAUCUUAAAAUUUCAUUGAAUCCUAACGCCAAUAGUUUGAACCCAUGAUGUCUGGAUAUCGAAGAGGGCUCAAAGUCCAUGUAGGGGCCUCGACUCGAGUAAGUUUUGAUACUAAAUGAAAAGAUUUCACUUCAUUAGCGAACCAUGUCUCAUAAAAUCUUGGAUACCAAGACAACAACUAUUUGUGAACUUAGAUGAAGCAAUAUUUGUGAAGUAAUCAUAUCAAAAACAGCCCUACCCACUACUAAUUUCACUUCCUAGGCAUAAGAAUAAAGAGCAACUUUACAAGGCAGAAGUCGGCAGACAAUCCAACAAUAAUGUCAAUGCUGAAGUGAAUGUCACACCUGUGCUAAACCUAAUGAAAUUACAAAACCAUACAAAAUAGUUUGUCCAUUCUGAUAUGAGAGAACUGGAACUAAAUUAAAUUAUCAUUUUCCUCUGAGACACCUGGAGACAAAUGAUACAACAGCCUGAACGGCAAGAUCUUCAGCUUCAUCUUGGCUUAACCCCUUCGUUUGAAGAUGCUUUUUAGCAAUUUUGAAAGAAUGAUCACCACCAUCAAUCACAUGCAACUCAUUGAUCGAUUUCAUCUUCUUGCAAACAGCCUCCAACUUGUCAAGAGGACAAAGCCCAUCUUUGCUACCCUGCACAAACAAUAUAGGUACUUCAAGUUGCAACAAUGUCUCAUCCCUCACAGCUCCAUUCAUGGCCUUAAGUGGGUAUCCCAAGCAAAUUACUGCUGAUGCUGCAAUGUCAACCUCAGCAGCUACCAUGCAGCUAACUCUAGAGCCCAUGGAUUUCCCAACCAAAAUCAGUGGAUGUUCAGGGUACUUAGCAGCAGCCUUUUUCACAAUAUCUUUGUGAAAAUCCACCAAUUUCUCUGCUUUAGGGGGAGCCCUCUUUUUUCCUCCAGAAAUAUAAGGAUAGUCAAAUGUGACGACUUCAAUAGCCUGCAAAGCAUUUUUCAACAUGUCCUUCCAUCUAAUCAUCCAAUCGGAAGAAGAAGGGGCACCGGCGCCGUGAGCAAAGACAACCACCGGCGGCUGCGAUGAUGACUCUUCAUCUUUAUCUUCGCCGUGAUUCUUUCGCCUUCGCUUUGACGGAGGUGAACAAGCUGCCAUUUUGUAUACCAGUAACUCGCAAACCACCUCAAAAUUGAACCUCCAAAAGAAAAAUAAUCUGCUUUUGAAACCCCAAA